This 255-nucleotide ribosomal RNA is filed under the name uncultured bacterium. RNAcentral describes it as "partial 16S ribosomal RNA". It matches the Rfam family "Bacterial small subunit ribosomal RNA", at positions 524 to 776 of the family's 1533-position model. The record is from RNAcentral.
UACAGAGGGUGCGAGCGUUUGUUCGGAAUUAUUGGGCGUAAAGGGCGCGUAGGCGGUGCGGUAAGUCACCUGUGAAAUCUCCUGGCUCAACUGGGAGCUUGCAGGCGAAACUGCCGUGCUGGAGUGUGGGAGAGGUGAGUGGAAUUCCCGGUGUAGCGGUGAAAUGCGUAGAUAUCGGGGAGGAACACCUGUGGCGAAAGCGGCUCACUGGACCACAACUGACGCUGAGGCGCGAAAGCUAGGGGAGCAAACAGG